UACAUCAUUUUCAAAAUUAAAUAUAUGUGUUAAACACUAAAACAAGAAACUAUGCAAUUUUUUAUGAAUAAUUAUAUUGACCUAAAUUAUAAUGUAUCGAUAUUGAGUUUUUUAAAAUCUGAAAUUCUAAAAUAUGACGCAUUGAUAUCAUAAUAUGUUGUUUAAAAAAAUAUACAAUGAAAAAAAGAAAUAAAGAAAAUGACAGUUUUUAUGGACAAAUAUGUGUUAAAUUUAUGGAAAAAAAAACAAAUUGUGAAAAUAACUUAGAGCUAAU
Molecule: long non-coding RNA, 274 nt
Filed under: Lathyrus oleraceus (garden pea)
Lineage: Eukaryota; Viridiplantae; Streptophyta; Magnoliopsida; Fabales; Fabaceae
Description: Pisum sativum (pea) long non-coding RNA (PSAT_LNC006020)
Source: RNAcentral